RNAcentral lists this transfer RNA (72 nucleotides) under Bos taurus (domestic cattle). It matches the Rfam family "tRNA". Rfam says of the family: Transfer RNA (tRNA) molecules are approximately 80 nucleotides in length. Their secondary structure includes four short double-helical elements and three loops (D, anti-codon, and T loops). Further hydrogen bonds mediate the characteristic L-shaped molecular structure. tRNAs have two regions of fundamental functional importance: the anti-codon, which is responsible for specific mRNA codon recognition, and the 3' end, to which the tRNAs corresponding amino acid is attached (by aminoacyl-tRNA synthetases). tRNAs cope with the degeneracy of the genetic code in two manners: having more than one tRNA (with a specific anti-codon) for a particular amino acid; and 'wobble' base-pairing, i.e. permitting non-standard base-pairing at the 3rd anti-codon position. RNAcentral also lists the same sequence under 2 other names. Lineage: Eukaryota; Metazoa; Chordata; Mammalia; Artiodactyla; Bovidae. The record is from Rfam by way of RNAcentral.
UCCCUGAUGGCUCAGAGGUUGAAGUGUCUGCCUGCAAUGCAGGAGACCUGGGUUUGAUCCCUGGGUCGGGAA